UCCUUUAGAGUUUGGAUCCUGGCUCAGGAUGAACGCUAGCGGCAGGCUUAACACAUGCAAGUCGAGGGGUAACAGGGAGUGCUUGCACUUUGCUGACGACCGGCGCACGGGUGCGUAACGCGUAUAGAACCUACCUUAUAUUGGGGGAUAGCCCAGAGAAAUUUGGAUUAAUACCCCAUAGUAUUGGGAUGUGGCAUCACAACCUAAUUAAAGAUUUAUCGAUAUAAGAUGGCUAUGCGUUCUAUUAGCUAGUUGGUAUGGUAACGGCAUACCAAGGCUACGAUAGAUAGGGGUCCUGAGAGGGAGAUCCCCCACACUGGUACUGAGACACGGACCAGACUCCUACGGGAGGCAGCAGUGAGGAAUAUUGGACAAUGGAGGCAACUCUGAUCCAGCCAUGCCGCGUG
Molecule: ribosomal RNA, 407 nt
Filed under: Aquimarina sp. RKVR25
Lineage: Bacteria; Pseudomonadati; Bacteroidota; Flavobacteriia; Flavobacteriales; Flavobacteriaceae
Description: bacterial SSU rRNA
Rfam family: Bacterial small subunit ribosomal RNA
Source: RNAcentral